CUUUGUCUCUACAAAGAGCGGCUUGUGGGAUGAAGGAAGACAGGAUUGCAUAUCAAGAGGAGCAGAUCUGGUGGUGAUAAACGAUAAAGAUGAACAGGACUUUAUUUCCAGUCUUGCAAACCAAGAACCUUGGAUUGGUUUGAACGACAAGGAAACUGAAGGUUCUUGGAAGUGGGUGGAUGGGACCUCUAUGACUCUUUCGUUCUGGAUAGACGGUCAACCUGAUAAUUGGAAUGGUGAUGAAGACUGUGUACAAAAUAUAAAGAAAGAGUGGAACGACAUUUCCUGUUCAAAAUCGCACCAAUGGAUCUGUGAAAAACUACCAUCAUGGAGUGCCUGAUCCACCCCUCCUCUGCUCUGGUGUAUUUUAAGGUUCUAUAUUUGGAGUUUUUCUG
This is a long non-coding RNA of Cyprinodon variegatus (sheepshead minnow), 395 nucleotides long. RefSeq lists it as uncharacterized. The transcript has 3 exons. Lineage: Eukaryota; Metazoa; Chordata; Actinopteri; Cyprinodontiformes; Cyprinodontidae. The record is from RefSeq and is a predicted model, not a curated record.